GCCCCGUUCGUCUAGCGGCCUAGGACACCGCCCUCUCACGGCGGCAACACCGGUUCAAAUCCGGUACGGGGUA
RNAcentral lists this transfer RNA (73 nucleotides) under Actinobaculum suis. It matches the Rfam family "tRNA". From Rfam's summary of the family: Transfer RNA (tRNA) molecules are approximately 80 nucleotides in length. Their secondary structure includes four short double-helical elements and three loops (D, anti-codon, and T loops). Further hydrogen bonds mediate the characteristic L-shaped molecular structure. tRNAs have two regions of fundamental functional importance: the anti-codon, which is responsible for specific mRNA codon recognition, and the 3' end, to which the tRNAs corresponding amino acid is attached (by aminoacyl-tRNA synthetases). tRNAs cope with the degeneracy of the genetic code in two manners: having more than one tRNA (with a specific anti-codon) for a particular amino acid; and 'wobble' base-pairing, i.e. permitting non-standard base-pairing at the 3rd anti-codon position. Lineage: Bacteria; Bacillati; Actinomycetota; Actinomycetes; Actinomycetales; Actinomycetaceae. The record is from Rfam by way of RNAcentral.